ACAGCUGCUAGCUCAGGUGCCAAUCUUUAAAAAAAAAAAAAAAAAAAGGCACAUCACUGAAGAGCUAAGUAAAGACUAGCGGUGGUUUGGGCAGUAGGACUUGAAAAAUUGUCAUUUCUCCCAAAUCUCCACUGUCUGGCGUAACAGGCUCACGAGUCUCUAGUCUGGUGAAACCCUUGGCAAGGAAAGGUUGCAGCUAUUGCUGUCUCUAAUUCUCCCUGGGAAUCUCUUCUAUAGGGAUCCCCUAAGAUAUUCAUGAAUCUCCACUCUGCACAGAACUUGAAAUUCGAGCAAGCAAAAUGCUCUCUAAAUGUGUCUUCAACAACCUGUGCUAUCAACUGAUUUUUGGAAGUGAGUUUAUCACUCUUGCCUUUAAACCUUACUCUACACUGAGUAAAACAGUCCUUUAUGGUUCCUGCUCACUUCUCAUGACUGCUGGUGAGGGGUCAACAAUGCCAUGGGGAAAUGUGAGUAGGAGUAGACCUUUGCUUUGGGAUGACCUAGAAAGGGAUGGAAGAGUUGAAAAGAUUUGUUCAUGUAUCUGAAUCCGAGAUAGAUCUCAGUCCUAUCCACUAUUCCACUUAAUGUUCAUUGUCCAGUUAGCUUCUCCUCUAACUGCUAGGAGUAUAGUUGUCAACUGCAGUGUUGGUCCAGGUGCUGAAGAGCCCAUAGGAAGGAAGAGACGCACAAACUCUUAUGGCCCGUGGUGCGAGUACCUCACCUGCCCUUCCUUUAAGGAACUGUCUCCCUGGACCUCCCCACCCAUUAUAAACCUCAGAAACAAUGACACAGAGGGUUGCUUAUGGGACCUUUGUGACUUAAUAGGCUGGUGUCCAAAGUGUACAUGGGUCAAUCUUCCAGAAAUUUAUUUUAAAUUCGUUUUAUUUUGGACCUGUGCUAUCUCCAAAAAGCAAAUUCCAUGUGUUUAUCAGAACUACUUGUAUUACACAUCAUUGUGUGCCUUGAGAUCCCAGAGUUUUUGGAACAAGCUGCCGCUUAACCAUCCCCAAUUGUAAUCUUCAUUGUUUCCCUUCAACUUAGGAAUUUGAUGAAAGAAGGGUUUGUGUUAAUCUAUUUGUGAUCUUUCCUGAAAGAAUGCUCGGACUUGUGUGCAAAGAGGUGUUAAAAGAAUACUUGCUUGUUACACUGAAAGCAGUAAGUCCCAGGUGCUGGUCUAUAGCUUAAUGCCACUCCAAGAUAAAGUUUUCUCCAGUUUUACUGAAAUGAAAAAAAUGAGAACACAGUGGAUUUUACAUAAAAUUAAGUCUAUUCAAUUUAAAGGGUUAUAUGCCUUCUGUAUGAAAAUGUUGCAGUCUAAUAUGAUUCAGAGUGUGGCUCUGGAGACAAGACUGCUUGAGUUCAAAUCUGGCUCCACCACUUACUGGCUUGUAACCUGGGGCAACUAAUUUAUCCUAUCAGCACCUCAGAUUCCUCAUCUAUAAAAUUGGGGUUAAUUAUACCUAUCUCAGAGUAGUUAUGAGGAUUACAUGUGAAGUGCUUAAAAAAAAGGCAAAAACAUGCUUACAAUACUAUUUAUUGUAAUAAAAUUGCAAAUGACCUAAUUGCCCAUCCAGGGAGAGUGGUUGAAUUAUGAUAAUACAAUAGUUAAAACAGAAUGAAAGAGAUAGGAACUUGCAUGGAACAAUAUUUAAUAAGACAGUGAAAAAUGCUACAGAAAAAAUGUGUAUGUGUGCGUAAGCACCAAGAAGGAUGGGCCCUUGUUUAACAUUGGUUGUUUCAGGAGAGUAAAGGGGUGGUUGAGAAGGGAGACGUAUUCCAACUCCUUUCUAGAUGGUUUCAAAUCUGUGCCCCCUAGGCUUCCAGGAGGGCUGAAGUUCUUGAUGACAUAGCAUCAGCAUUGUUCACAACAAGCGUCCCCCGUCCAAGAGCCAGCAAUGUAAUUCUACCCUGAAGUCAGACUGUGCUCCCAAAUUUGGUAGACUUAUUUUGCAUAAGUCUCUGGUUCAUUCUCUGUGGAUCCCCCAGGGCCUCUAGAAACUACAUCUCAUGAUACUUUCUGAACCUCAAUGCAGUUCAUUGUAGUUAUACUCCGCUUAUUCCUCAAAUAGUCUGAAGGGGCAAGCCAUGGCUCCCUUUUGAUCAGGCCCAGCUGACUCUAAAUGGAAGUUUUAGACAAAUGUUGAUUUCUGGGAAAGGAUCUUGCACUUGGUGAAACAAUAUUAACAGGGAAAUGAGCUUUGGGAUUUUCACUUUUUUCACACUUUCUUGACCUCAUUACCAGCCUUAUCCUCCCAUCUUUUUUUUUUUUUUUUUUUUGGUCAUCAGAAGUUGAGUGGUGAAGUUCACUCUCCAGCUAGUAGGUCUCAGCCAACCCCUCUGAUUUAUUCUAGCACCCACUCCUCUGACCACGCAACACCUACCAGGACUCCUCUUACUGAACACAUCUACCUUCAGAAAUUUCUGAUAUCACUGUUUCCCAAACUUUGUCCUCCAAACAUUACAACCAAUGUGAAAAAGAUGCUGUGGGUCAUAAGAGCUCAGAAAAUUGUCUGUCUCCCUCCUGCAGUUGUGCUGUGUGCAAUAGCAUAUUAAAGGCUCCGAGAAGUUCAGCCUUAAAGGAACUGGCUUAAUUUUGUUUAACCCAGUGUUUUCUAAUUUCCAAUUUCACUUUUUAUUUCAUUUUCUUUUUCGAUCGGUGAACGUCCCUCAAACUUUGAGAAACACUCUUGAAGCUAUGACCUCUCCCCUCUCUCCUUAUCUAGCACUGCUCAUUGCACUUGGUUCCAGGCCUCUUUAAGGACAGAAACGUGCUGCCAUAGACUGGAGGUAGGCCAAAAACUGGGCCCGGGUAUUCUACUGCUGAAAUAGAACACAAGUAUAAAAUGGAACAGUAUAAACAUAAAUAUUUUCCCAAUUCACAGGGAAGUGGGUGAAACGUUUUUCAGGUUAAAUUUUUCUUCCAUAAGUUGUUCUUAAUCAGUUGGUACUUGCUAUGGCUUGUCUUCAAGCAGGUGUUAACAGACAAAAUAAUAGUCAAUUUGGACAUGUGAUUUUAAAAAAUUAUCUGAUUGAUUUUAUAAAAUACAAAUGUGAUACAAGCUCUUGAUAAAAUACAUCUAAUGAUAUAUAGGAGUAUCCAGUAAAGAGUGAAAAAUCCCCUCUCACUUAGCCUCACACCCCCAAAGGAAACCACUGAAUGAGAAUAUUUUUCCAUCUGUUUAUUCAUUCAACAAAUAUUUAUUAAAUGUCUUCUGUGUUUCCAGCAUUGGAAAUGCAGUGAUGAACAAAACUGACCAAGUCCCUGCCCUAGUGGAACUUAUAUUAAAGUGGAGAGGAGACAGACAAAUAGGAACAACACAACGUAUGUUCGUCAUAAAAAAAUUCAGAUAAUCUAGAAUGGCAAAAAGGAGAAAAUUGACGAAGAUGAAAACAAGACUGUUAAUACAGUAUUUCCAGUGGAGUGGAGAAAUACAUCCUCAUGCAUUGUUGGUCAGCACAAACUGGUAAAAUCUCUUUGGCAGGCAACUGGGUAAGUAGCUAUGAACAUUUUAAAUGCACCUACCCUUUGACCCAGCAAUUUCACUUCCAGGACUUUUUCAGAUAUUCCUACAGAGGUGAAUGCACAAAGAAGCAUGAACAGAUGGUUUCACUGCUAUAUUGUUAAUAAUAGCAAUACACUCAAAAUAACCUAAAUGUAAAAGCAGUGAGUAUAUGUGUUAGCACUUGUUUGAACAGAGGGAUAUUUAUACUUCAAUGAUUUUGUAUACACAUAGGAUAAUUCUAGAAGAAUACAUAAGAAAUUGCUAACAAUGGUUGGUUCCGAGAAAGGAGGUAGGAGAGGAUACAUCCUUUUCACUAUAUAAUAUCUUUUGAACUGCUUGAAUUUUCACAGUGGGCAGAUAUUAUAUAUUCAAAUAAAUAAAUAAUUAAAAUUUCACAUUUAUUUGAUGAAUGAGGUUUAGCACCUUUUUUUUUCUUCUCUGAGCCUCUUUGUUCGUAUCCUCAAUUUUAUUUAAAAUUUAAAAAUUUUGUUUAGUUGUCUUAUUGGUUUUUUAGAGCUCAUUAUCUGUUAAGUACCUUUACUCUUGGCUGUAGAUAUUGCAAUUUUGUUUAGUGGUUGAAUUUUAGAAUUUCAGGAAUUUCCCCACAAUUAUGAGGUAUUUAAGGCAGUUUGCCAUGAUCCUAAAGACACAAUCCCAUCUUUUCACACGGUUUUCCAUCCACAAGGGUGGGGCGUAUGUUUGUACGCUUAGGCUUAGGUGUUGUUUACCAGCUCCUUGAGUCAUCCUGGAGCUGCAUUCUUCCCUCCUGCUCCUGGCACUGGAGCAGGGCUCUAGACUCCAGGUCAACAGCUGGCAUCAAAAGAAGCCUGAAGAAAGGUGAAGCUUAGCAGAGCCAGGCAUCCAUCUGCCUUGCUCUGGAGCCUGCUGUGAGGAUGGAUGUGACCUUGCUGCUCGAGGGGGUAGGGUAAGUUCUGGGACCAUGGCUCUGGUGGGAACAGUAGGCAGAGCUGCCUGGCCCCUCGACUCCUUCAGUAUGUAGCCCAGGCCUCCCAAACACUGGCCUUGAGGAAUGGAGGUAAUGCUCCCAAUUUUGGAAUGGGAGGUAAUGCUCCCACUCUGCUCACCUGGAGUCAGAGUGGAAAAUACUGACUGCUGUAUCCAGCAAGGGGAUGCUUCAGCACUUGGGGGAGAAAAAGGCCUUUCAGGCUUAUCCAAAGAAGGCCUCACUUUCAAGGGAGAAUACCAUCUCCCCACCAUGCCCAGAGACUUUUCAACAGACCAAGGCUACCACCUCCCACCUUACAGAUUAGCUGGCAGCCUCCAACACCUCCUGUUUCCCCUUGGCUCCCUGCAAAGCAGACUCCCAUUGCCUCUAACCCCCAUGAAAGCUGUUUUUCUGAGCAUCAGGCCUGAGCAUAAUCUCCUUUAGAAGUUGAAGUGGCUUGCUCUGUUUUUGCAGCCAAUACUUCAGGGCAGAAGCUCUGAUGGCCUUUUAGAUAAACCUAUCCUCUGCUUCCUCCCCUGAGCUUUUUCUGGAAGCAGCUCGCCAAGGUUUACUAGAACAACAUGGCUGCCGCCCCAAUACCAGCCAUAACCUUAAGAAGGGAGAAGGCGCUGAGCUGCCCAAGGGCAUGACCAGAGGAGCUCAGAAAAAGAGACCUCCAGAGACAAGAAGACAGAGGUUGAAGGGGUGCAAGGUGGGGCUGGAAGAGUUUGUAGAGUGUGCAAGCUCGUGUUUCAUCUUCUCUUGUCUGGGCCUCGGCCUUCCCAGAGCUGUUGCCAUCUCUGCUGUCUCUUCUCCUCUUUUCUGCAAAACCACAAAAAUGCAGGUUGAAGCUGCUUAAAGGUUUCCAGUAAUGUGUUGAUAAUUUCCUCUAAGUGGCUGCUCCCCUGCAGACUGACUUCACCGACCUAAAAUAAUUCACUUUCACUUUCGGCUCUGUUUGGACCUGAGGCCAGAGCAGCAUAGCAUGGCUCCAAGCUCUGCCCCGUGGGCUCAGACAAGCAGGGCCUCAAAUGGUUUUGCUAACAUGAAAAUUUAUAAUGAAAUAAGGGGGCUGUGCCUAAAGACGUACCACAGAGUAAAUAUAUCAUCUGCACAGGCUCUUGGCUGACUCCAAACCACGGAAUAUAACGGGGAGAAGGUAGAGACACAGACUUUCUGUGGGGUACGCCCAGAAACAGGCAAAUAGCACCCCUUCCAUUCUGGAAAGGGGGGGCCCAAACAGCUUUGUGUGAAUUUGGGCCCAAAACAUCUCCUGAGGAAAUGAGUAUGUUGUUCUAAGCCUUACUCUAAUCCUCAUAUUUGUGGAAAUAAAUUGGUCUUUCUUACCCUGUGCAAAGUCCUAAAGCUACCCAGACAAACAAGCUCAGUCACUGAACGGAAACAGGCUAGUAAACAGACACUUGUAGUAUGGGAUGAUAAAUACAUUGAUGGGUCAGAAUCAAACACAAGUGCUGGCCCCUCCCCAGGAGAGGGAAAGGUGUGUAAAAUCUCGGGGUGAUGGGGAGGGGUGUGCUGUUUUGAAUUGGGAAUAGAAUGGAGGAGUGGAGUUCUGCUCUUGUUUCUCCCUCUUGACUGCCUUGGAACACAAAGUACCUGCCGCCUCCACCUCUGCAGUGACUCAGAUCUCUGCUCUGUGUGCCCUUGGAGUCAAAUCAGGGCCGCCCAGACCUUUUGUGUUUGGGAGGCACUGAGAAAAACAGGUGGGGCCUAACUGACUUCCAGCAGUUGCCUUCUCAUCACCCCCUCCAAACAGCCAGAUUGAGGAGUGACAUUUUUAGGAGUGAGUACUCCUAAAGCUCCUCUCUAGAGAGCAAAUCAUGAAAACAUGACUUGAGGAGUUGUUUCAUGGGGUGAGGAGUAACUGCCUGUGUUUUUCUUUUCCUUCUUUCUUUCUUUCUUUCUUUCUUUCUUUCUUUCUUUUUUUUUUUUUUGAGGAAGA
Non-coding RNA from Equus caballus (horse), 6409 nucleotides. NCBI's taxonomy places the organism in Eukaryota, Metazoa, Chordata, Mammalia, Perissodactyla, Equidae. The record is from RefSeq and is a predicted model, not a curated record.